AAUAAGAAUUAACUCCAACUCUCUCUCUCUCUCUCUCUCUCUCUCUCUCUCUUUUCUCUUAAAGAUUAAACCAGCAACCUUAAAGUUUUCUAGGGUUCUUGAAGAAACCCUCAUAUCUACAAAACAAGUGUGAAGGGAAGCAUAAGUUCUAAAAGAAUUCAAGUUAUAAGGAGAAGUUGCCGAAAUUGAGGUAAGGUGACUUCUACAUUUUUGUCUUCCUUGUGUAUGAGUUUGAGUGAGGAAUUAGUGUUGUGCUGUCAUGAAGAACUAAAGGGGGUGGUGAGUUCAAUAGUUGGUUGUAUGAUAAAAGAAUAUUUGGGUCUGUUCUAUGUGUAUUACUGUUGGCGCAACUUGGUUGAUCUUGGGGAAAUGAUGUAUAAUGUAUGUGAUGGAUAGAGAAUGAGGGUGUGGUGAUACACAUUAUGUUGAGGGAUCUAUGGUCUCAUUAUCUGUCAAAUUUAGCUACUGUUUUCCGAGGCUCAUGGUGUGAUAGCUGCUAAUUUUAGUUUGCCAUUACUUAAAUUGUAGAAUAAAACCAAAAAGGAGAGGCUGAAUCGUAAUUGUAUAUCACUAUGAGGAUAAGGUAUGUAAGGCUAUGAAAUCUGAUACUUGCGAUUAAUACCAAUGAAGUGAAUCUCAUAAAAUCUAUUCCUAGAAAAGGAAACAUAGUGACAACGUACUGUCUCCAAAUAGCUAACAAAAUUUCCCCCCUCUCUAUAGUGCAUAUAACUACUUCUUUAUAUGUUCACUAUCUUAUACUUGUGUAAUUAUUCACCCCCGGGCUGGUAUAGAAAUGGUAUUAUCAAAAGCAAGUCUGGUGAAUCCUCCUCUUUGUUGUUUGAAGUCAAUUGUGUCAUUAAGCUCUUAAAUAAUGUGUUUAUGUUACAUGGCUCCUUAUGUCAUUGUUAUUGCCUUUAUGUAUUAUUUUCAUGUCUUCUAUUACUGGUCUGUACUUCCAUAUCUUCAAAAUGAUUAUGACCACCAUAUAACAUAAUAAAAGAGUUACGAUUCUCGAAAAAGCGAUCCCAAAAGUGUUACGAAGUGAUAAACAACAAUCUCAAAGAUUAAAGAAUCUAAGUGAUGAAAUCUAUAUAAUUACGGGUUGCAGCCUAGGGGCGAAAGCCUAGAAUGGGUCGAUCCCAACUAGUACAUAAGGGUGGUAGCUUAAGGGAGAAAGUCUAUCAUGGGCCGAUAACAAUUGGUAUAGAAGGGUGGUAUUUCAGUGGCGAAAGCCUAGCAUGGACCCAUCCCAAAUUGUGUAAUUAUGAGGACUGCAUCAAAGGGGCUAAUAUACCUAGCAUGGGUCAUCCUCUUCUACCACUGAUUAGCUGGUCACUUGUAUCACAUGCCCUACAAAGAUUAUAACAUACAGAAAAGUAAAGAAAAUAAUGUAACUUACAUGAUCUCACAAGAGUAAGCAAAGGUGGUCUUUUCUCCUGAUCUAUGCACUCAUAUGUUGAUACUUGAUUUCAUUUGAGCCCUCGUAUUACAUAUGCUAUAUUGCCUUACAUAAUCAGUACAUUUUUUUUGUACUGGCGUCCCUCGCGGGGGACGCUGCAUUCAUGCUGCAGGCACAUGUACUCCAACUAGUAGACCUUCUCAAUAGGAGCAUACGACACUCUGAAACUUUUGGUGAGCUCCAGGUUGAUUUGAAGCUUUACUGAGUCCUUGGUAAAUUCAUGUUGGUAUUGUAUUAUAGUUGUGUCUUAAGGUGUUGUGGCCUCAACGGCCAAGUCUUGUAUAUAACUUUUUGGGUCUACUUAUGUUGGUUUUUAUCGUUGUGUCCUUUAUGAACUUGUCAUGAUUUUUGUAGUUAUAUCAAAGUAAGAACAGACUUCAGGUUGGUUCUCUUGGGACCUUAGGGCUUCGGGUGUCUGUCCGUCUAAAUGGGAUUUGAGGCGUGACGAAAGUGGUUUCAGAGCAAGUCAUACUAGGGAGUCUACAAAACUGUGUCUGUGUAGGGUUUUGCUUAUGGAUGUGUCGUGCACCAUAUCUAUAAACAGGAGGCUACGGGACAUAUGCUGGUUACGAGAAGGAGUAAAAGUACUGGUAAGAGAGAAGAUGUGGCUCCCUAAAAAGGGACCCAACCAACCACCACUAAGUCAAGCUGUUCAAAGUGCGUCUCAAGAUGAGUCUCUAUCGCAGACUUCCCCGACGCCUCCAUCUCCUGAAGAACUAAGGAGUAAAGAUGAACCUCAGGAACACCCUAUUAAUGCUACCGAGCAAGAUUUGAGGAAUGUACUCCAAUUAUUAACUCGUAUAGUGGUGUAGAUAGAGCAGCUGGAACACUGAUACAUGAUUUUCUUAACUUGGACCCUCCAUGACUCACCAAGUCAGAUCCUAAUGAAGAUCCGCAAGACUUUAUAGAUCAGAUCAAAUGAGUUUUGGAUAUUAUGCAUGUUAGUGGUAAAAAAGCACUUGAGCUAGCAGCAUAUAGAUUAUGAAGCUUUGAAGUAAUCUAGGGGAACAUAAGCACCUUCAGCUACGUGGAAAGAGUUCAAAAAGGCAUUCCUUUACCAUUAUCUUCCAUUGGAGAUCUGAAAGACCCGUGCGGAUCAGUUCUUAAAUCUCCACCAAAGAGGUAUGAGCGUGAGAGAGUAUAGUCUCAAAUUCAUUUCCUUAGCAAGAUAUGCUCCUAAUGUAGUAGCUACCACGGAGGAUAGAGUUCAUCGAUAUGUGGAUAGAUUAGACCCAUAUUUAGUUAGAGAUGUACCACUGCUUCAUUGAAUAAAGAUAUGGAUAUAGCAAGGAUGCAGGCCUUUGGGCAAAAGUUAGAGGGUCAAAGGCAAAGAAGAAGGAUACAAGAGUCAGAAACAGGGAAGUACGAGCCAAUCAAGGCCUCUUCGACAGCCUUGUAAACAAUGUGGGAGGAAUCAUCCGGUGCAUGCAGGUUUGGGACAUAUGUUUGUUUUUGGUGUGGCGCACCAAGGCAUAUAUGAGAAACUGCCCUCAUAGGGGCAUGGGUGGCGUUGCACAGCCAACUAGAUCAGUUGUUUCAUCAAACUCAUCAACACCUUCUUUGGGUAGGGGGAUACAGAUGCCUAGAGGUCGUGGUAGCGGAGCUAGGGGAGCAGCAAGUUCUAGUGGAUGUCAGAAUCGCACAUAUGCACUAGGGGAUCGACAAAAUUAAGAAGCCUCGCCAGAUGUGGUUACAGUUUAAGUGUGAAGGGAAGCUGAAGUUCUAAAAGAAUUCAAGUUAUAAGGAGAAGUUGCCAAAAUUGAGAUUAAAACAAUAAAGGGGAGGUUGAAUCGUGAUAGUAUAUCAGUUUGAGGAUAAGGUGGCAACCCAAGGGUGAAAGCUAGCAUGGGUCGAUCCCAACUGGUACAUAAGGGUGGCAGCUCAGGGGAGAAAGCCUAGCAUGGGUCAAUCCCAAAUUGUGUAAUUAUGAGGACCGCACCCCACAGGUUAAUAUGCCUAGCAUGGGUCAUCCUCUUCCACCACUGAUUAGCUGGUCACUUGUAUAACAUGCCCUACAAAGAUUAUAACGUACAGAAAAGUAAAGAAAACAAUGUAACUUACAUGAUCUCACAAGAGUAAGCAAAGGCACAUGCACUCCAGCUAGUAGACCUCUUCAGUAGGAGCAUACGACACUAUGAUACUUUUGGUGAGCUCCAGGUUGAUUUGGAGCCUUACAGCGUCCUUGGUAAAUUCAUGUUGGUAUUGUAUUGUAGUUAAGAUUACUCAUUCAGGUGAUAGAGGAUUAUGCCAUCAUUCAUCUUAAAGAGGUAGUUAGAAUUCAUGGAUUUGCGUUGUCAAUUAUUUCAUAUAGAGGUGCACAAUUUAUUGCACAAUUUUUGAGGUCAUUUCUGAAAGGCUAGGGUUCAAAGGUGAA
Solanum pennellii is the source of this 3833-nucleotide long non-coding RNA. RefSeq lists it as uncharacterized. The record is from RefSeq and is a predicted model, not a curated record. The transcript is spliced from 7 exons. Lineage: Eukaryota; Viridiplantae; Streptophyta; Magnoliopsida; Solanales; Solanaceae.